Molecule: RNA transcript, 2196 nt
Organism: Populus trichocarpa (black cottonwood)
Lineage: Eukaryota; Viridiplantae; Streptophyta; Magnoliopsida; Malpighiales; Salicaceae
Exons: 15
Source: RefSeq, a predicted model, not a curated record
CUUUUGCCAAGAAACAAACACGCAAUUCUCCCUCUUUUCCUCUCUCUUCCUCAAUCCACCAGCUGGAAAAAAUCUAAGCACCUCGCAUUUGAAAAUCAGGCAAGAGAGAGAAGAAAAUGACUUUGAGCUUUGAAGAAAUGAAUUUGUUAUAUUCACUGCUGAGAUCAGAGCAAAGACCAAUCGAUGAAAUCGUCACCGAAUUUAUCAACAAUAUCAAUCGCUCUCGCUCUUCCACUCUUUCUGCUUCUCUCUCACUACUCUUACAGGAGGAUAAGAUGAUGCUCAAGUCUACGGAAAGGUUAACUGCGUUUGCGAUUCUUUAUCUGACGUAUUCAUUGCAACAGUCUUCUGCAAAUCCGUUUGUAGCUUUGUUUAUCAAUGCUGCUUGUGAUGAGGGAGCAGAAAAAUACGAGAGGGCGUUUGUUCUUCAGUUGUUAGCCUCUGGAGGCUCUGGUGGUAGCAAAGAGUUUCUUAAACAGUCUGCUGCAAAUUACAUCAAAGUUUUUGAUCCUUCAGUCCAUGCUUUCCCAUCACGUGAACAUUUGCAGCAUCAAUAUGGUGAUAAAGUCCAUCCCGAAGCAGAUAAUUCCUUAUUUAAAAACAUUUCACUGAAAAAUAUAGUGCCAGAUCCAGAUGUACCCCAUGGUUGUGAUGCAAAUUCACAAGAGUUUGAUUUGCAACCUGGAGUGAAACCUAAACUUGGAUCUGGAGAUAGAGACGAGGCUCUAACUGGAUUGUUGGCAAACUUGUCGCCAGAGGGCAUAGGUCCUCAAUGGAUCAGGUCGAGACCACCGAGGCUGCCAAUACAGGAUGGUGAAUUAGUGUGGCUCAACCCCGAUAGCAAUCAUGAGCUUGUGUGGGAUCAUUGUAUGUGUGCUGAUACUAGCAGGGGAGCAGCAGUUAGGGGGUUGAUUGCAAAAGCCUUGAAGGGACCUCUUGCGCCUUCUCAACAAGAGCAAGUCUUGGUGGAAUUGACUAAUGACCCAAAGCUUGUAUAUCACUGUGGACUGGCUCCAAGGAAGUUACCUGAAUUGGUAGAGAACAAUCCUCUCAUUGCGGUUGAAGUUAUUACCAAGUUGAUAAAUUCUCCUGAAAUUGCAGAUUACUUUACAGUACUUGUCAAUAUGGACAUGAGUCUACAUUCAAUGGAAGUCGUGAACAGGCUUACAACAGCAGUUGAACUUCCAAAGGAGUUCAUUCGAAUGUACAUAACUAACUGUAUUUCCUUGUGUGAAAAUAUCAAGGAUAAAUACAUGCAGAACCGACUUGUCAGACUUGUUUGUGUUUUCCUGCAGAGUCUAAUCCGAAACAGAAUUAUUGAUGUUAAGGAUCUUUUCAUUGAAGUCCAAGCAUUCUGCUUUGAGUUUUCACGAAUUAGAGAAGCAGCUGGUUUAUUUAGACUUCUCAAGACCUUGGAAUGAAUGGGCGUUUUUCAUGCUGUCGACGGUUUUUGGAAGAUUUGUUUGGAAGAUUUGGCUGUUCCAGGGAAGGCAUUUUGAAGCCCCAUGGAUCUUUCAUAUAUGAUAAAGUUCUAUUCUUUCUUUACUGGACCUACGUGAUGACAAACUGGCUAAAUAGAGUGCUGGUUAACAUCAUCAAUGUAGCUGGAGCACCGUACCUGAAUGAGGUAGACCUGGUUUCCUCCAACUUUGGAUAGAUCAUCGUGUUGAGAAUUAAGUCGUGAUUUAUCUGUGGUUGCAGCUACUGAUUUGGAUGCAGGGCACCAAGGAGAUCGCUCGGUAUCAUUUGCAAGCCACAAAAAUUCACACUUCCGUCUCAAAAUAUUAACUGUAGGCCUGCCAAUGCACCAUGGCCGGUUUGGAUCCAAAGAAAGCUAUUGGAAACCAUUUUCAAGAAUAUGUAAUCAACACCCUUGUUCCAUCAAUCCACAUCAUCUCUCACUGUCCAAACCAUGCCACAUAAAAGUCAAGGGUCUAAGUUUACCAAAGCUACUGAGAGUCUUGAGAAGUGGAGGCCACAUGGUAUAGACACCAGCAACAUCCACCCCCACCACCACCAGCCCCCAUCGGCACUACCAUUACCACCAUUGUUCCAAAUGUAAAUCUUAGGCUGUCAAUUUUAUGUUAUUUAAUUUCCAUGUUUUUGAAGUUAUUAAUAGCUUAAUCCUUUUCUAUGUUUUUGAAUUCGUUUGUAAGUUAAUUCUUUUCGUCGAUUUCAUAUUAUUUUUUAGAUGAA